GACGAACGCUGGCGGCGUGCCUAAUACAUGCAAGUCGAACGCAGUUGGGACGGGUGAGUAACACGUGGGUAACCUCCCAUCAGAGGGGAUAACACUUGGACACAGGUGCUAAACCGAUACUGAUGGAUGAACCCGCGGUGCAUUAGCUAGUUGGUGAGGUAACGGCUCACCAAGGCCACGAUGCAUAGCCGACCUGAGGGGGUGAGCGGCCACACUGGGAGUGAGACACGGCCCAGACUCCUACGGGAGGAAGCAGUAGGGAAUCUUCGGCAAUGGACGAAAGUCUGACCGAGCAAAGCGGCGUGAGUGAAGAAGGUGUGCGGAUCGUAAAACUCUGUUGUUAGAGAAGCGGUAUCUAAACAGAAAGCCACGGCUAACUACGUGCCAGCAGCCGCGGUAAUUC
RNAcentral lists this ribosomal RNA (403 nucleotides) under uncultured bacterium. RNAcentral describes it as "partial 16S ribosomal RNA". It matches the Rfam family "Bacterial small subunit ribosomal RNA", at positions 28 to 526 of the family's 1533-position model. The record is from RNAcentral.